GUAAAAAUUAAACACCAGUUUGAAGGUUGAAUGGGAAAUUUAAGCCCUUCUUAAUUAGGAAAACAGAUACUAUAGUUGACAUUUAAAAAAAUUGUCUCGGUCACCUUAGCAGAAAGACGACCCAAAGGCUCACCAGUUUCUAAAAGCUAAGCAGACUUCAAAAUGACACAACAUCUGGCUUUUUCCAUGCUGGCUCUCGCUUUAAUUUCCAGUUUUGAUCCAGUUGAAAAUGUGGGCGGGGAAUUUGAACCGCUCGCUAAUUACAACUUGGAUCGGAGUCUUUUUUUGAAAGAUUUGAGAUCAAUGAUGGCACCUCAGUGGCUCGCAAAAAGAGUGUUCCGAGGAAUUCCAGAUCCAAGACGCCGAAGUGCGAUGACUCCAUAAGCAUUUAAAAAGAGAUCAAUUACAGCUAGCUUUUAAAUUAUUAUAACGAGUUCGUUCGGUUAAUCACCCAAUCAUCAAUGCUAUUUGUUCUAAUAUCUGAUUCAUUUUUUCUGAUUGAAAAUUGAAAAUAAAAAUCUUAUCUGAAA
This is a long non-coding RNA of Symsagittifera roscoffensis, 530 nucleotides long. RefSeq lists it as uncharacterized. The record is from RefSeq and is a predicted model, not a curated record. The transcript is spliced from 3 exons. NCBI's taxonomy places the organism in Eukaryota, Metazoa, Xenacoelomorpha, Acoela, Convolutidae.